CCCAUUCGAUAAAAUGUGUUCCCCUGGGCGGAAAUCGGUUUUCCAUGCAGGAGCGGUUGCUCCACAAGGGAAAGAAAGCGAGGUUCAGAGAGGUUUAUUGCCCUCAAUAGCCAGGAAUUGAACACAGGUGCCCGGCAGGAUUGUACUUUCCUGCCCCCUUUAAAGACCAGCAUGACCACAGGCCCUGCUUUGGCCAAAACAAUGUGAGGAGAAAUGACAUAUAUCUCUUCCAGGAAGAGAAGUCUUUGGAGCUUGUGAUUAUUUGCUCAGGUCUUCCCUCUGCACACUAGCCCCCAUAUUCAAGAUCCAUUUGGGACCCCAUUUGGGGUCCCUCAACCUAGGUCUCUGAGCAAAACUAUUUGCAUAGAGCCAUUCCUCCAAACUGCCCAACAGGCAAUGGUCAUAUGAUAGGAACAAGAAGUAAAUCUGUUAUUUUAAACCAUU
Long non-coding RNA from Panthera uncia (snow leopard), 444 nucleotides. RefSeq lists it as uncharacterized. The transcript has 3 exons. Lineage: Eukaryota; Metazoa; Chordata; Mammalia; Carnivora; Felidae. The record is from RefSeq and is a predicted model, not a curated record.